Molecule: ribosomal RNA, 574 nt
Filed under: Pseudomonas aeruginosa
Lineage: Bacteria; Pseudomonadati; Pseudomonadota; Gammaproteobacteria; Pseudomonadales; Pseudomonadaceae
Description: bacterial SSU rRNA
Rfam family: Bacterial small subunit ribosomal RNA
Source: RNAcentral
GGUGGAGUAAUGCCUAGGAAUCUCGCCUGGUAGUGGGGGAUAACGUGCCGGAAACGGGCGCUAAUACCGCAUACGUCCUGAGGGAGAAAGUGGGGGAUCUUCGGACCUCACGCUAUCAGAUGAGCCUAGGUCGGAUUAGCUAGUUGGUGGGGUAAAGGCCUACCAAGGCGACGAUCCGUAACUGGUCUGAGAGGAUGAUCAGUCACACUGGAACUGAGACACGGUCCAGACUCCUACGGGAGGCAGCAGUGGGGAAUAUUGGACAAUGGGCGAAAGCCUGAUCCAGCCAUGCCGCGUGUGUGAAGAAGGUCUUCGGAUUGUAAAGCACUUUAAGUUGGGAGGAAGGGCAGUAAGUUAAUACCUUGCUGUUUUGACGUUACCAACAGAAUAAGCACCGGCUAACUUCGUGCCAGCAGCCGCGGUAAUACGAAGGGUGCAAGCGUUAAUCGGAAUUACUGGGCGUAAAGCGCGCGUAGGUGGGUUCAGCAAGUUGGAUGUGAAAUCCCCGGGCUCAACCUGGGGAACUGCAUCCAAAACUACUGAGCUAGAGUACGGUAGAGGGGUGGUGGAAUUU